This 253-nucleotide ribosomal RNA is filed under the name uncultured bacterium. RNAcentral describes it as "partial 16S ribosomal RNA". It matches the Rfam family "Bacterial small subunit ribosomal RNA", at positions 524 to 776 of the family's 1533-position model. The record is from RNAcentral.
GACGUAGGGUCCGAGCGUUGUCCGGAGUUACUGGGCGUAAAGGGCGCGUAGGCGGCUUUGUGCGUCACCCGUGAAAGCCCCCGGCUCAACCGGGGAGGGUCGGGUGAAACGGCGGAGCUGGAGGCAGCGAGAGGCUGGUGGAACUCCCGGAGUAGUGGUGAAAUGCGUAGAGAUCGGGAGGAACACCGGUGGCGAAGGCGGCCAGCUGGCGCUGACCUGACGCUGAGGCGCGAAGGCGUGGGGAGCAAACGGG